RNAcentral lists this non-coding RNA (599 nucleotides) under Pongo abelii (Sumatran orangutan). Lineage: Eukaryota; Metazoa; Chordata; Mammalia; Primates; Hominidae. The record is from RNAcentral.
GCAGGCCUGUCCCUUUGCUUUCUUGUUAAAACUGCGCACCGUCUGAGGCCAAUUCGAGCCUACUGGAUCCCUGGUUCCAACCCAGUAGGAUCACAGAAGCAGGGCCAUCUGCAGGAGAAAAGGUUGUUCUUUUCUACCAAAUUUUCCUGCCAUCAAAUGCUCAUCAAGUGACAAUAGAAAAAGCACCAUAGUUCUCAAGCAUCAGAUUGGGAGAAGAGUCUGCUCUCAAGAGCAUCAACUAUGUAGAAAGGCGACCACUAAAGGACAUACUUGUGGAAGAAGAAAAUUACAAAAUGAAAGAACUGGGAUGCAAGAAGUAAUGGAAAUGACAAGCUAAUUCGAAAGUUCAUAGGAAUGAAAAGCAUCUAAAAUAGGCAAAUUCAUUUUGAAAAAGAAGAACAAAGUUGGAGGACUAAGACGACCUGAUUUCAAAGUGCAAGGCUUCAAUAAUCAAGACAGUUUGAUACUGGCACAAAGAUAGACAAAGAGAUAAUGACACAGACAUUAGGUCCAGAAGACAGUCCAGUAAUAGACUUUCACAUAUAUGGACAACUAAUUUUUGACAGUGCCAAGGCAAUUCAGUAGAGAAAGGAUAGUUU